GACGAACGCUGGCGGCGUGCUUAACACAUGCAAGUCGAACGGAAAGGCCCUGCUUUUGUGGGGUGCUCGAGUGGCGAACGGGUGAGUAACACGUGAGUAACCUGCCCUUGACUUUGGGAUAACUUCAGGAAACUGGGGCUAAUACCGGAUAGGAGCUCCUGCUGCAUGGUGGGGGUUGGAAAGUUUCGGCGGUUGGGGAUGGACUCGCGGCUUAUCAGCUUGUUGGUGGGGUAGUGGCUUACCAAGGCUUUGACGGGUAGCCGGCCUGAGAGGGUGACCGGCCACAUUGGGACUGAGAUACGGCCCAGACUCCUACGGGAGGCAGCAGUGGGGAAUAUUGCACAAUGGGCGGAAGCCUGAUGCAGCAACGCCGCGUGCGGGAUGACGGCCUUCGGGUUGUAAACCGCUUUCGCCUGUGACGAAGCGUGAGUGACGGUAAUGGGUAAAGAAGCACCGGCUAACUACGUGCCAGCAGCCGCGGUGAUACGUAGGGUGCGAGCGUUGUCCGGAUUUAUUGGGCGUAAAGGGCUCGUAGGUGGUUGAUCGCGUCGGAAGUGUAAUCUUGGGGCUUAACCCUGAGCGUGCUUUCGAUACGGGUUGACUUGAGGAAGGUAGGGGAGAAUGGAAUUCCUGGUGGAGCGGUGGAAUGCGCAGAUAUCAGGAGGAACACCAGUGGCGAAGGCGGUUCUCUGGGCCUUUCCUGACGCUGAGGAGCGAAAGCGUGGGGAGCGAACAGGCUUAGAUACCCUGGUAGUCCACGCUGUAAACGGUGGGUACUAGGUGUGGGGUCCAUUCCACGGGUUCCGUGCCGUAGCUAACGCUUUAAGUACCCCGCCUGGGGAGUACGGCCGCAAGGCUAAAACUCAAAGGAAUCGACGGGGCCCCGCACAAGCGGCGGAGCAUGCGGAUUAAUUCGAUGCAACGCGUAGAACCUUACCUGGGUUUGACAUGGAUCGGGAGUGCUCAGAGAUGGGUGUGCCUCUUUUGGGGUCGGUUCACAGGUGGUGCAUGGCUGUCGUCAGCUCGUGUCGUGAGAUGUUGGGUUGAGUCCCGCAACGAGCGCAACCCUUGUUCACUGUUGCCAGCACGUUAUGGUGGGGACUCAGUGGAGACCGCCGGGGUCAACUCGGAGGAAGGUGGGGAUGACGUCAAGUCAUCAUGCCCCUUAUGUCCAGGGCUUCACGCAUGCUACAAUGGCUGGUACAGAGAGUGGCGAGCCUGUGAGGGUGAGCGAAUCUCGGAAAGCCGGUCUCAGUUCGGAUUGGGGUCUGCAACUCGACCUCAUGAAGCCGGAGUCGCUAGUAAUCGCAGAUCAGCAACGCUGCGGUGAAUACGUUCCCGGG
This 1343-nucleotide ribosomal RNA is filed under the name uncultured bacterium. RNAcentral describes it as "16S ribosomal RNA". It matches the Rfam family "Bacterial small subunit ribosomal RNA", at positions 28 to 1378 of the family's 1533-position model. The record is from RNAcentral.